This is a non-coding RNA of Kogia breviceps (pygmy sperm whale), 346 nucleotides long. NCBI's taxonomy places the organism in Eukaryota, Metazoa, Chordata, Mammalia, Artiodactyla, Physeteridae. The record is from RefSeq and is a predicted model, not a curated record.
AUUUUCCAAAAACUAGGUUUCGUAUGGAUGAGUUUAUCCCUUCCCCUUGAGAUGAGACAUGAAGGAAAGUGUUGGGGAUGAUUCUGCUUCCCAUCCUCAAAGGCCUGUGUGAAUUCUCACAAAGAAGAUGACUUCUUGGGAACUCUUUUGGGAAUGAACGAUACCAGUAAAUCCCUGAAGCAAGAUUCUUCAGACAGAGCCUAUUCACCUACCUGCUGUCCAAGGGCUACCCUCUGAAGGUGAUGACCACAGAGACGAGGUGGAUUUGUUACUGUGGGUACCAUUACUUCUGCCAUCAACUUCUGCAAAACAAUGAUAGUCUUCUUUGUGCAUGGAAACUCUUCUC